AAUCAACGCUGGCGGCGUGCCUAACACAUGCAAGUCGCACGAGAAAGGGGCUUCGGCCCUGAGUACAGUGGCGCACGGGUGAGUAACACGUGACUUAUCUACCUCCGAGUGGGGAAUAACCUAGAGAAAUCUGGGCUAAUACAGCAUAACACUUACGAGUCAAAGCAGCAAUGCGCUUGGAGAGGAGGUCGCGGCAGAUUAGUUAGUUGGCGGGGUAAUGGCCCACCAAGACGAUGAUCUGUAUCCGGCCUGAGAGGGCGCACGGACACACUGGAACUGAAACACGGUCCAGACUCCUACGGGAGGCAGCAGUGGGGAAUUUUGCGCAAUGGGGGGAACCCUGACGCAGCAACGCCGCGUGGAGGAUGAAAUCCCUUGGGAUGUAAACUCCUUUCGAUCGGGACGAUUAUGACGGUACCGGAAGAAGAAGCCCCGGCUAACUUCGUGCCAGCAGCCGCGGUAAUACGAGGGGGGCAAGCGUUGUUCGGAAUUAUUGGGCGUAAAGGGCGCGUAGGCGGUUUGACAAGUCUGAUGUGAAAUCUCUGGGCUCAACCCAGAGUCUGCAUUAGAAACUGUCGGGCUUGAGUAUGGGAGAGGUGAGUGGAAUUUCCGGUGUAGCGGUGAAAUGCGUANAUAUCGGAAGGAACACCUGUGGCGAAAGCGGCUCACUGGACCAUAACUGACGCUGAGGCGCGAAAGCUA
Molecule: ribosomal RNA, 702 nt
Filed under: uncultured bacterium
Lineage: Bacteria
Description: bacterial SSU rRNA
Rfam family: Bacterial small subunit ribosomal RNA
Source: RNAcentral